RNAcentral lists this ribosomal RNA (253 nucleotides) under uncultured bacterium. RNAcentral describes it as "partial 16S ribosomal RNA". It matches the Rfam family "Bacterial small subunit ribosomal RNA", at positions 524 to 776 of the family's 1533-position model. The record is from RNAcentral.
UACGGUGGGUGCGAGCGUUAAUCGGAAUCACUGGGCGUAAAGCGCGCGUAGGCGGCUUUUCAAGUCAGGGGUGAAAUCCCACGGCCCAACCGUGGAACUGCCUUUGAAACUGUAGAGCUUGAGUGUCGGAGAGGGUGGCGGAAUUCCAGGUGUAGGAGUGAAAUCCGUAGAUAUCUGGAGGAACACCGGUGGCGAAGGCGGCCACCUGGACGACAACUGACGCUGAGGUGCGAAAGCGUGGGUAGCAAACAGG